UACGUAGGGGGCAAGCGUUGUCCGGAAUCAUUGGGCGUAAAGCGCGUGUAGGCGGCCCGGUAAGUCCGCUGUGAAAGUCGGGGGCUCAACCCUCGAAAGCCGGUGGAUACUGUCGGGCUCGAGUACGGGAGAGGCGAGUGGAAUUCCUGGUGUAGCGGUGAAAUGCGCAGAUAUCAGGAGGAAUACCGAUGGCGAAGGCAGGUCUCUGGGCUGACACUGACGCUCAUGCACGAAAGCGUGGGGAGCAAACAGG
This 253-nucleotide ribosomal RNA is filed under the name uncultured bacterium. Its description in RNAcentral is "partial 16S ribosomal RNA". It matches the Rfam family "Bacterial small subunit ribosomal RNA", at positions 524 to 776 of the family's 1533-position model. The record is from RNAcentral.